GGGGGAUGCCUAGGCUCUCAGAGGCGACGAAGGACGCGAUAAGCUGCGAAAAUCCACGGGGAGCUGCACAUGAGCAUUGAUCCGUGGGUGUCCGAAUGGGGCAACCCGGCAGGUUGAAGGCCUGUCACCCAGCAAUGGGGGCGAACCCGCCGAACUGAAACAUCUAAGUAGGCGGAGGAAGAGAAAACAAGAGUGAUUCCGAGAGUAGUGGCGAGCGAAAUCGGAACAGCCCAAACCGUUGUUGUUUAGGCAAUGACGGGGUUGUAGGACCACAAU
Molecule: ribosomal RNA, 276 nt
Filed under: Vannella robusta
Lineage: Eukaryota; Discosea; Flabellinia; Vannellidae
Description: Vannella sp. CB-2014 partial Bacterial large subunit ribosomal RNA
Rfam family: Bacterial large subunit ribosomal RNA
Source: RNAcentral